This 254-nucleotide ribosomal RNA is filed under the name uncultured bacterium. RNAcentral's name for it is "partial 16S ribosomal RNA". It matches the Rfam family "Bacterial small subunit ribosomal RNA", at positions 524 to 776 of the family's 1533-position model. The record is from RNAcentral.
UACGGAGGGGGCUAGCGUUGUUCGGAAUUACUGGGCGUAAAGGGCGCGUAGGCGGCGCGAUAAGUUGGGCGUGAAAGGCCCGGGCUCAACCCGGGGACUGCGCUUGAUACUGUCGCGCUGUGAGUCCGGGAGAGGAUGGCGGAAUUCCCAGUGUAGAGGUGAAAUUCGUAGAUAUUGGGAAGAACACCGGUGGCGAAGGCGGUUCUCUGGGCCUUACCUGACGCUGAGGAGCGAAAGCAUGGGGAGCGAACAGG